GGCAGUAAACCUCUGUUGAAUGUGCAUGACCUUCGAGCUCUCAGAUGGCAUUGCAUGAGAAACCGUCAUACUACUGUGUUAAAAAAAUAGCCACAUGGGCUUGGGAGUAUUUUGGAAAACCGUUGUCACUUAGCACAGUCUUAGCACAUCUCUGUUAUGCAAGGAGAAAACUAUUCAUCAAUUCAGUGCACAGAUGCUGCCAAGUUCCCUGGGCUUGAGCUCAUCUCAGAUGGUCUAAAAGACAGUGGAAAUGUGUGCUGUGGUCAGAUGAGUCCACGUUUUAGCUUGUUUUUGAGAAAUAUGGACAUCAAGUUCUCAGUCCCAAAGACAAAAGGGACCAGCUAGACUUUCAUCAGCAAAAGGUGCGAGAGCAAACAUCUGUCAUGGUAUGGGGAUGCAAAUGGAAUCAGCGCAAACGGAAUGGGUGACUCGCAUAUGUGUGACGUGGAGGCAUUUAUUGGGAAUGGAAAAGGAGAAUCGGACAACGCCGACCACAAACUGUCUUGUAUCAGGCUUGACUUCCAUCAAACAUCAGCAGAUGGUGAGAUUCUCCUGCCAGUAAUUUGCUAAUGGCAAUCAGGCGGAGAUGCAAUAUCCUGACAUGCUAAAGCCCUCUUUGUUCGGAUUACAUCAAACAUUGAGCUUCAAUACAUCUUUCAGCAAUUAGAACCCAACCAUAAGUGCUGGGUGGAAUCAAGUUUUGUAGAACAAAGCGAGGACCCUCCUUCUGUUCCUGGCACUUACAUACGGAAGCCCGGCCAGUCGGUUCCUCUCCACAACUUUCUUCACCUCGUCCAGGCUGCCAUAGUCCCAGCGAGA
This is a long non-coding RNA of Megalobrama amblycephala (Wuchang bream), 819 nucleotides long. RefSeq lists it as uncharacterized. NCBI's taxonomy places the organism in Eukaryota, Metazoa, Chordata, Actinopteri, Cypriniformes, Xenocyprididae. The record is from RefSeq and is a predicted model, not a curated record. The transcript is spliced from 3 exons.